RNAcentral lists this long non-coding RNA (2821 nucleotides) under Nicotiana tabacum (common tobacco). Its description in RNAcentral is "long non-coding RNA (NTAB_LNC001121)". The record is from RNAcentral. Lineage: Eukaryota; Viridiplantae; Streptophyta; Magnoliopsida; Solanales; Solanaceae.
UAAGAAGCCCAGAAUCGGACUCUGGAUCUUUCAUAAGGAUCUUCUGGAAAUAGUCGAGGUUCAUUGUUCCAUGUCUCAUCAAUGUAUUCAAGAAUGACAAAGGACUCCGAUACUGGCUUUCCAUUAUGGACUAGUACAGGCACUUUCUUAUGAAUGGGAUUGUAUUUGAGCAGCAAUGGACUUUUGUUGCUUAAAUCUUCUUCUACAUACUCAAAAGUUAUGCCUUUGACUUUGAGAGCCAGUUGUACUCUAUUCACAUAGGGGCUAAUCCACAUUCCAUGUAGAGUGACCUUAUUUUCCUCUCCCAUUUUGGUCUCUCAGAUUGUUUGAGAGAAUUUAGAUGUUUAAGUUUGUUAUAUACCAUAAAUUUCCUCAACAUUUUCUCGAACCUUCGAUUAAGUCAUCCAAGACCAGGCAAAUUGUUUUUUGUUUCACAGUAAGCCGGGACCAGAACUCUCUAUAGUCAAAUUUGACUAGAAUAUUUUAAAAGAAUUGACGUAAGUGAUAGGAGUAAUACUAUAUGUUCUCUGCAUUUUGACCUGCCAGCCGAUAAUGAUUUAUGAUGAUAGCAAUGACCUUAGCUGCCCAUUUCUUGGGGCCAAAUUGCCAAAGUGGUGUGGAAGAAAGAAAUAGUCUUUUCCCUUUUGUUUUCUGGGGAUGUGGAGAUGGAGCUAGUUGACGGCAAAGUUACAAUGUUUGAAUUGGAUUUUUCUUUCCGAAGAAAAUUACAUUGUAGUUUUAGGUAAGAAAAAAAUUCUUAAGUAUACAUUCAAAUUGUUGAAUUCCAUCGACGCAUGAGAAACUUUUAGUGUAAUGAUAAAUGUGGGUCAAAAAUUACUUUAGGUUGUUGGUUUGAAUCUCAAGUCACCCUCCAUCAUUUUCUGAAUCUCCUGUUUAGUGGCGAUGUACAAAGUCAUGACCAAAAUUUUAACCAUGGUUAUUACUUAAUACUAAAAUAAAUCUGCACCCCCGCAUUUAAAAAAAAAAGAAAAAGAAAAAAAAAAGGUAGUCUGAUGCAGUAAGCUCUUGCUAUGCGUGGGGUACAGAGAAGGGUCGGACCACAAGGAUUUAUUGUACGCAGUCUUACCCUACAUUUCUACAAUGUGCACAACCCCUCCCCCCCUCCAAACCCCCAUGUUGCUUGGAAAAUAAAGAGAAUUAAUGUGAUCGGGGGAAUAACAAAAUCGAGCCUCCCAAAGAGGCAGUGAUAUCCGCACUUCAGACAAUCAAACAUAGCCCGCUCGUUGUUGGAAAUUUUAUUUGUUAUGUGUCAUUUUGAAGUCUUUAUUUUCGGUUGAAGACAAUUAGACAAACUAGAGCCUGAGAGAACAAAAAGCGCUUGAUUGUUGGAGAAUAAGAAGAAUGAUACUAGUGUGACCUUGUUAUUUAGUUGCAUAUAUUUCAAAUAUGGAGCAGAUGUUUAAUUUGCAUUGAUAUGGUACCUAAUGGAUAACUUGGGAGUUCCAAUAGAAUCUUUUUUAUUCAAGUGGAGUAUUAGUUUGAGUAAGUAAUAUAAAGUUAAAAAUUAAGCUAAUUAUAAGAAAAAAUAAUUUUGGCGCAUAAAUUAAAUGAGGAAAGUCAUUUGAUAGAAAUAUCAGAACAUUACUUGCUCAUGAAUAACAUUUUUUCUGGAUGAUAACUUUCUGUUGUAUAAACACACACUCAAAAUAUAAGUAGCCUUUGGAAUCCAAAUGGCCAUAAGCCUUAUUAUAUUAUACAAUACAGAGGAGAAGACAUUGAGUACAAUUAAUGAGUGGAGUAGACAAAAGAGACAGAGAUGGACAUAAACACAAAAAAGGUCAAUUGGCCGGAGCUUUGAAGACGAUGUCUUUGAGAAAAUGAAGAAAUGAAAGCACCUUGUCAUAAGGGGGAGUGAUUUCCUUAACUAUAGGCAGCUCAAUUAAACUAGUCAACCAUGAGUAUAAGAGGGGUGUCUUCUCUGCAUCCAAUAUCUUCACACCAAACACUAGCUCUUGUGCUUUGUAUGCCCCUAGUGUAAUAAUGAUCAUGAUAUCUAGCAACCCCAUAUUCCUUCCUUCUAUAUUAGUGGUUAUCUCCAGGGAGGAAUUCUUAAUUCCAUUUUCGAGUACGCUCAAUUUCUCAUAAAAUUCCUCUAAUGCUUUUUCUUCCCCUUUGAAGACCUUGAGCAUGCAUUCAGUCACCUGCGCAUAAGAGUUGUCAAUGUCAAUAAAAAUCAAUUGAAUCAAUAUUUUUUUGAAGUAAAAUCAUAAGUUUCAAUGUGUAUAUAUAUAUAUAUACCAAAAAAUUAGGAUAAGUUUUUAAUUUUAUGGAAGAGAUUAAAAAAUAUUACAAGGGGUUCCCAUAAUAUAUCUGAAUUAAGUACAAAAUAUUAUUCAACCAAGUUUUUGUGUUGAUAUAGGGGGUUUAAGUGUUAGAUUUCAAAAUAUAGGGUGUGUAUCUGCAGUUAAGUCAUAUUAGAGAAGUAUUUAGUGUAAUUUGUCCUUUUUUUACCUCAACCCCGUUCCCUUUAUCUUGACUUGGGAUAGACAAAACUCGUACACAUAGUAAACACAUCAUGAUUCAUGGCAUCCAUGAAUGAAAAAUCUUGAACCAUGUGAAAAUGGGUAGAAAGAAGUGAUAAGAAUUACCUGUUGGAUGUAAGAAGCCCAGAAUCGAACUCUGGAUCUUUCAUAAGGAUCUUUUGGAAAAAGUCGAGGUUCAUUGUUCCAUGUCUCAUCAAUGUAUUCAAGAAUGACAAAAGACUCCGAUACUGACUUUCCAUUAUGGACAAGUACAGGCACUUUCUUAUGAAUGGGAUUGUAUUUGAGCAGCAAUGGACUUUUGUUGCUUAAAUCUUCUU